GUACACUCCUACGGGAGGCAGCAGUGGGGAAUAUUGGACAAUGGGGGCAACCCUGAUCCAGCCAUGCCGCGUGAGUGAUGAAGGCCCUAGGGUUGUAAAGCUCUUUUGUGCGGGAAGAUAAUGACGGUACCGCAAGAAUAAGCCCCGGCUAACUUCGUGCCAGCAGCCGCGGUAAUACGAAGGGGGCUAGCGUUGCUCGGAAUCACUGGGCGUAAAGGGUGCGUAGGCGGGUCUUUAAGUCAGGGGUGAAAUCCUGGAGCUCAACUCCAGAACUGCCUUUGAUACUGAGGAUCUUGAGUCCGGAAGAGGUGAGUGGAACUGCGAGUGUAGAGGUGAAAUUCGUAGAUAUUCGCAAGAACACCAGUGGCGAAGGCGGCUCACUGGUCCGGUACUGACGCUGAGGCACGAAAGCGUGGGGAGCAAACAGGAUUAGAAACCCUAGUAGUCCC
Molecule: ribosomal RNA, 449 nt
Filed under: uncultured organism
Description: partial 16S ribosomal RNA
Rfam family: Bacterial small subunit ribosomal RNA
Source: RNAcentral